Molecule: long non-coding RNA, 4919 nt
Filed under: Homo sapiens (human)
Lineage: Eukaryota; Metazoa; Chordata; Mammalia; Primates; Hominidae
Description: HSALNT0267761
Source: RNAcentral
AUUUGGUAAUAAUAAUAAUAAAACAAUCUUUUAUUAUAUCUUAAUAUUGAGGUAAAAUAUAUACAAAGAAAAGCACAGAUCUAAUGUAUUUAUUUGAAUGAGAUUUGGCAAAUACAUAUGUGUAGUUACACAAAAUCAUAUGGAGAUAUAGAACAUUCUCAUCAACCUUGAAAGUUGUCUAUGACGCAUUCAAAUUUAAUUCCAACCCUUCAGGGGCAAUCAUUAUGCUGACAUCUACCAAUUUAAGACUUGCCUGUUUUUUCUCAUUUAAGAAGCAUUUAUUGUUAUAAAUGCACUCAGGCACUGUAAGACAUAACAUAAAUGAAAUAAUUUUCAGAUAAAAGCAACUGCUUAUUAUUUUAUCCUGCCUUUAUAUUAUUUUUAUAAACUGCCUUCAGAAGGUAUCAUUCAUUACCAUACCAGUUGGGUGGUCUGUAAUAUAUUCCCACAAGGUUUGUCUUCCCUUUAUUUCUUCUUUUGUUCUUACAAACAUGUAUUCUACAGUGUUGCUGCUUCUAAGUUCAUUGAUUUUCUCUUAUGUAUUAUUUUGAUAUGCAAUGCUUUUUUUUUUUUUGAGAUGGAAUCUCCCUCAUUGUGUCACCCAGGCUGAAGCGCCUGCAACCUCCACCUCCCAGGCUCAAGUGAUUCUUCUGCCUCAGCCCCCAAUUAGGUGAGAUUACAGGUGUGUGCCACCAUAUCCAGCUACUUUUUGUAUUUUUAGUAGAGAUGGGGUUUCACCAUGUUGGCCAGGCUGGUCUCGAACCCCUGACCUCAAGUGAUUCGCCCAUCUUAGCCUCCCAAAGUGCUGGUACUACAGGCAUGAGCCACCAUGCCCACUCUUGAUAUACAAUGCUUCUUAACCCCCUUCCUAAUAAGAUCAUUUCUUUUUAACAAUGUAUAUAAUAUUCUGGACUGAAGUUCAAUCCCACAAAUUAUCAGUGAUGAUAACAAUUUAUAAUUACCAUUCUUGGUUAAAAUCUCAACUUAACAUGAGCAUUGGCACAAAUUCUAUAAACAAGCCACUUUUAAAAGCCCCAAUAAAGUUGACUAUAUAAUUAAAGUGACCUAGUUCAAAUAGAAACAAGUGACAGUAGAAGUGAAUUAAUAUUAUAUGUGCUACAUGGUAGUGUAGUUAUGAUACUCAUAAUUUUGUAUUGCCAUUGUAGAUAUUUUCUUCUAGUGCUUUCAAGUUACCAACAGAUAUUUAUAUUCAAGAUUUAAGAAAAAUAUUUCAGAAUUCCCAGGAAUUCUUUAAAUUAAAGUUGUUCUUAAAGUUUAUCCAACAUUCUUCACACUGCUUACUCAUUAUAGACAUGGUUUGAUGGUUAAGAAACAUUGAGUUUAUCACAUUUACAAAGAACUGUAGGUUGUGAAUAUUCAUACUCUCAGAAAUAUGCUAGUUAUUAGCAGGUGAACAAUUAAAAUUUCGGAUCUCCUUAGCAAAGUUAACAGUUCUAUACAGAACUGUAAACCAAAAUUGCCAAUUUCAGAACUUAUUUGCUUCCAAACUUGUUAUUUCCUGAAACACCACUCAUAGGAUUUAUAUAUAUAUUCACUUGUACGUCUAUUAAACUUAAUUUUUGGCUCUACAUGUCAGCAUUUUCUGGUCUUUGCUUUAGACUUCUAACCAGCAAUGUUACUAUUUUGAAUCCCAAGGUUUAAUUCUUACAAAAGAAUGUAAAGACUAUAAUACUUUUUUUUUUUUUUUGCCAGGCACAGUGGCUCACGCCUGUAAUUCCAGAACUUUGGGAGGCUGAAGAGGGUGGAUCACCCUGAGAUCAGGAGUUCAAGACUAGCCUGACCAACAUAGUGAAACCCUGUCUCUACUAAAAAUACAAAAAUUAGCUGGGCAUGGUGGAGGGCACCCGUAAUCCCAGCUACUCGGGAGGCCGAGGCAAGAGAAUCACUUGAACCUGGGAGGUGGAGGUUGCAGUGAGCUGGGAUUGCAUCAUUGCACUCCAGCCUGGGUGACAAGUGUGAAACUCCAUCUCAAGAAAAAAAAUAAAAAUAAACAAAAACACUGGCCAAGCUCUCAAUGUUAAGUAGAAAUGGUGAAGACAGACAUCCUUGCCUUCUCCUAACCUUAAGGAGAAAACAUCCAAUAUUUUACCAUUAGAGAUGAUGUUUAUCAGCGGCAUACCAAGGAUUGUGGCAGUGGGAGUGGUUCAUCUGAGGAGGAGGGAGUGUUUAUCUCUGACUCUGUUUAAAAUUGCCAGCACAUAGUGAUAAUAUACAGUACAGCUUUUUAAGCCACUUUUAUUAUUAUUCUUAAAUUCUCUACAAUUGGGGGACCUAUUUAUUGCUUACAACUGGGGUGAACUCCUUCCAAUAACCUCCUUCCACUUCAGUACACCACUAAGAUAUGCUUUAAGUUGAAUAUAGUGCCCUUUAUCAUAUUGAGAGGGAGAGCUUCUCUUCCUUGCAGGUGGAGAAGUUUUAUAAUAAAUGGGUUUUGGAUUUGUCAAAUACUUUCUCUGUUGAGAUGAUCAUAUAGUGAAUUACACUGACUAAUUUUAAUACAAAACAUAUCCUGAAUGUGUGUCUCAUUUGACCUUAAUGUAUAAUCUAUUUAACAUAUUUUUGGACUGAGUUUAUGACUACUUGGUUAGAGAUUUUUAUGCCUAUGUCUAUGAAGGAUGUUAGACUGUAAGUAAACUUUUUUAUAAUGUUCUUCCCAGGUUUUAGUAUCACAGUUAUCUUAGGCUCAUAAAAGAAGUUGGGAAGUGUUUUCUCUGCUUCUCUUGUCUUAAAACAUUUUUGUAGAAUGUAUAAUUUGUAGAUGUUUAAUAGCAUUUACCUGUGAAGCCACCUGGACCAGCAGUGUACUUUUUGGAAAGGUUUUUCAUUAAAAAUUUGAUUGCUUUAACAUAGGAGUCAACAAACUUCAGCAAAGAGCCAGGAAAUGAAUAUUGUAAGUUUUAUAUGCCUUAAGAUCUUUAUUGCAACUCCUUGUCUGUACCACUAUAGGACAAAGGCAGUCAAAGAUCAUUCUUACCAAUGGAUGUGGUUGUAUGCCAACAAACUUCACUUACAGAAUCAGAAGUGGUAAUCUAGUCUCCCAGUCCAGGAAUCAAAGCAAGUGUGUUUAACUUAUAUUUGUUUAGUUAUUCAGUUAAUUAUUUGUGCUACUUUCUUAUUGAGAUACAAUUUACAAACCAUGACAUGCACCUUUUAAGGUGUACAAUAUAGUGGUUUUCAGUAUUUUGAUAAGCUUGUGCAACCCUCACCACUUGUUAAUUCCGGAACAACUUCAUUACUCCCAUGAAGAACCCCUAUACCUGAUGGCACUCAAUCCUUCCUCCUACCUUUACUUCUCCCUUGGCAACCACUAACCUGCUUUUUAUGAAUUGACUUAUUCUGGACACUUUAUAUUAAUUAAAGUAUAUAAUAUGUGGCUCAUUGCAUCUGACUUCUUUCAUGCAGAAUUAUGUUUUCAAAGCUCAUCCAUGUUGUAGGGUGGGAUCUUUUUUUUUUUUUUACUUUUUAUGUAUGAAUAAUAUUUCACUGAAUGGAUACAUCACAUUUUGUUUAUCCAUUUAUCCAUUGGUGAACAUUUGGAUGUUUCUAGUUUGUAUGUACUAUUAUUAAUCCUACUAUGAACAUUUAUGUGCAAAUUUUGUGUUAAAAUGUUUUCAAUUACCUUGAGUAUAAUUCUUAAAGUGGAACUGAUGAGUCACAUGAUAACUCUAUGUUUAACUCUUCAAGGAACUGCCAGACUGUUUUCCACAGAGGAUGUACCAUUUUAUGUUCCCACCAGCAAUGUAUGAAUGUUCCAGAUUCUCCACAUCCUCACUAACACUUGUUAUUUUAGGUUUUUUUUUUUUAAGAUUAUAGCUAUCAUAGUACAUGUGAAGUGGCUUCUCGUUGUGGUUCUGAUUUGCAUUUUCCUGAGGUCUAAUGAUAUCACCCAUCAUUUUACAUGCUUAUUGGCCAUUUGUACAUUUUCUUUUGGAGAAAUGUCUGUUAAAAUCUGAUGCCCAGUUUUUAAUCAUGGUUUUUGUCUUUUAUGGUUGAUUUUAGGAGUUCUUUUUGUAUUUUGAAUACUAGGCCCUUAUCAGAUAUAAAAUUUGCAAAUAUUUUCUCCCAUGUCUGUGGGUUAUCUUUUCAUUUCUUAUUAGUGCCCUUUGACUCACCAAAGUUUUUAACUUUAAUCUAUUUUUGGAUCUAUUAUUCCUUUUGUUGCUUGUGCUUUUGGUAGCAUAUCUAAGAAAUUGAUGCUGAUUACCAGAUCAUGAAGAUAUACAUUUAUGUUUUCCUCAAAGAGUUUUGUAAUUUUAGUUCAUAUAUUUAGGUCUUGUUUUAUUUGGAGCCCAUUUUUGUACUUGAUAUGAUGUAACAGUCCAUGUAUAUUUUUUUGCAGUCAGGUUGAUGGUGAUGAACUCUUCAGUUUUUGUAUAUCCAGGAAUGCCUUAAUUUUUCCCUGACUUCUGAAGAAUAGACAUACCAAGAUAUAGAAUCCUUGGUUGAUAGGUUUUUCUUCUGCCGUUUUUAAUGUGUUCUCUCACUACCUUCUGGCUUUCAUGAUUUUAAUGAAAAAUUACUGUUUAGUUUAUUAACUGCUCAUGAUAAGUGGCUUGUCCCUUGCUUUCAAAAUUUUCUCCUUGCCUUUGUCACUAAUAUUUCGAUCUAGGUGUGGAUCUCUUAGAGAUUUUCCUACUUAGUGUUCUUUGAGCUUCUUAGAUGUAGAGAUUAAUGUUUUUAAUCAAAAUAAAAAUUUUCGUCGUCAUUCUAUCUUCAUAUAUUCUUUCUGCGCCUUUCUCUUUCUUCUCUCUCCUGAGAUUCCCAUUAUGCAUAUGUUUUUACACUAGAUUGUGUUCUUCAGGUCUCUGAGGCUCUGUUCAUUUUUCUUAAUUAUUUUCUUUAUUGUUCCUUAGAGUGUAUAAUCUCAAAUGACCUGUAAUUAAGUUAGCCGAUCCUUU